This 74-nucleotide transfer RNA is filed under the name Planctomycetota bacterium. Its description in RNAcentral is "Planctomycetes bacterium (mine drainage metagenome) tRNA-Arg". It matches the Rfam family "tRNA". Rfam says of the family: Transfer RNA (tRNA) molecules are approximately 80 nucleotides in length. Lineage: Bacteria; Pseudomonadati; Planctomycetota. The record is from RNAcentral.
GUCCUCGUAGCUCAAUUGGACAGAGCGCAGGCCUCCGAAGCCUGAGGUUGUGGGUUCGAGACCCGCCGAGGAUA